This is a long non-coding RNA of Maniola jurtina (meadow brown), 4652 nucleotides long. RefSeq lists it as uncharacterized. The transcript is spliced from 2 exons. NCBI's taxonomy places the organism in Eukaryota, Metazoa, Arthropoda, Insecta, Lepidoptera, Nymphalidae. The record is from RefSeq and is a predicted model, not a curated record.
CUAAAUAUAUUGCUAUUCCUUUCAUAAUGCUGACUGUGUAAGAGGAUAGCAUUAGGCUGGCCUAAUGCUAUCCUUUACCUGGCCUUAGGCUGAGAUGUAUAUAGCGCACUUUGACUUUGCUCCUUUGACUAGAGGCCCGUACCAGGUACGUCGUAGGUGCGUGGGCCGCUCGUUUGUAGCGCAUGGUAAGUGAGAUGUCAAUAUACUGUACAGAGUACGACUUUAAGCCCAUAUUUGAAUGUUUAUUUUUCUACCGAGCGGGAGUGGUGUCAUGUAAGUGAGCUAUGACCUUUAUUGUUCGGAAUAACCCAUCUAGUCUUGGAAGUCGUUGGUCCUAACACUUUAGUAGUCAUUCUAUGAAAAAAAAUACUUCUUAUAUACGUAAAGACAGCUGUUUGUGUAUAAUAAAUAUAAUAUAAGACGUGUUUAUUUAUUCUUGUGAAUAGUUGUACAUGUACCAAAGAAUGUUGUUUUAUUUGCUCAGUCUAUGUACAUACACUGGUUUGGAAUUUUUUGGGUUGAUUCUAUUAUAAAAUAGUUAAAGAAGGCUCAGAACAGCAGUUUAAAUAUGGAGAAUUCUGGCAUUUAAAAAAAGCCCAAAGAAUUGAAAGAUGCAAAUCAAUACAACUUAAAGCAAACCCAAACUACGGGACUAUCCUAGGAAAAUAGAGCUUGAGCGCUCGCAUACGAAACUCAACGAAACUAUAACAGUGCAAAUACAGAAACGAAGCUAAGCUAAUCAUUCCGUUUCACUCACACACUAUACGCAGUUGUAGGUGUAAGGGAGAUCGAAUGAUUAGCACCACUCUUUUUGAUUUGUUUCUUUAUUGGCACAACUCAUAUAAGAUUAAUGCAGAUACUUUCGAAAAACGUCGGCAAAACUCAUAGUAACCCAAACUUUUGUUGAAAGUUAGGCAUAUAUUUUUAUAUAAAACAUAAAUAGUGCAUUCACUGGUUACCUUCACAGCUACGUCAGUUUGUAUAAUUCCGAUUUCGUAUAGCAUGUAAAUGUGUCUUAAUAAAAACUCGGUAAAUAGUAGGUACCUAUUAAUAUUUGACAGAAGACUUUAUGGCAUUAUUUUACAUUUGCCGACAUUUUAAUUCCUAAUGUGCACAUAAUUAACUAUUGAAUUUUUGUUGAUAGAGCAAUCGAUCGUUACUCGAGUUUAAUCUGUGCAAUAGUGAAGAGUCGUGACUUAACAGAUUUACGCCAACUUCUGUGAUGAGUUUGUUUUCUAGAAAACUUGCUGAUGCUACCUUUAUAAAAUGUUUGUCUAAAAUCUAAAGACCUAUAAAAUUGAUAUGGCCUUAUCUCAUAUCAUAUCUAUAGUGAAAGUAGAUUUUUUUUUUUGCAAAAUAGACGUUUUUAGUUUUUACUUUUUGCCAGUAAACGACAAAGCAUAGAAGGCGCGUUUCACACAAAUUCAAAUCUUAAUCAUCAUUCGUUUUUCUAUUCCUUCGUCCAUUCUACUCGCUAAAACGUUUUUAACAUUUCUGAUACGAACCGCGAAGGUUUCGAACGCCCUUUCGGCAUCCGUGUUUCCUGCUAACUACGUAUGGCUUAUGUAUCUUCAAGGGAAGAGUGAAUAGGCAUCUUCAAUGCGAGCGCACGGCGCUUCAAUUUUGACCUCACCUAAUAGCUUUCCUCAAUGCAUGAUUGUCGUCAAGCGUAAGCCUAUCCUGCAAUAAAAAAAAACAGUAGAGAUUUCGUUUCGCUGUAAUGGAGCGCAUGGAGUAUUUCUAUGCUUUGUCGUUCAUUAUUUAUACAUAUCUAAUAUUAUUACUACCGAAGUUUAAGGUUCUUAUGGUCCAGAGAAAUUUAUCAUAAAAUAAAUUGUAUAAAAAGGUAUAUUAUAGCGACAGAAAAAAACUUGUUUUUUUAUUUAAAAAAAAAUAGGGCCUCUUUGGAGGAGCAGCGAAUGGAAAAAUCAAAGGUUGUGUUUUAGAGCAAAUAAUGAUUGUUACUAAAGUUGUGAAGCGAACAUGAGCCUGUCCAAUUGAGUACGAAACGAUGUCGGUUAGAAAUAGGCAAAUUGUAAAAAAUACUAAAUUAUUACAAAAUAAUGUAAUAAAAUAUGAUAUUUAGAGAUUACUGCUACUUAAACACUUGUACCUACUGGUCUUUCGUUGUGACGUGCAGACGUCUCUCGUUAUCUUUUCAAGGCCUAUUUUACAACCGCCACAUAAACUUUAUAUAAUGAAUAAAUUUGACGUUUUGACAGUUUUUGUCUUGGCAAUCUGUGAAAAUGUCAGACUUAUCCGUUAGAUUUUUAUGUGGCGAUUGUGAGAGCGGCCGCAUCCGACGCCGGCGACGGUGCUGCCCAAGUCUGAUACGGCACAGUUCUGGCGCGGUGUGUCUGACACGCUCAAUGUCUGUAGAUAUUAAACUAAACGGACCUUAAAAAGAUCGGUCUUUCGGAAAAGAUCGACAGAGUAAUCAGUAAAGAGCCGCGCACCUUGCGCCUCUGUCGCACGCGUUUGACGCCAUGAUAAUAAUUUGAUCUGAAGACCGAAGUGCACCUUAAACAUUGUUUUUAGUGCUUGAGCCUAAAAUGUAAAACUACGAUGACAAUAUUUAAAGGUUAAGUGAAAACUGAAAACAUCCAAGAGAAUCACUCGUGCCUACAAGAAAUAGUAAAAGAAAUAGUUGUAUAUCUAAAUUGUAAAGCUGAGAUCUGUUACUGUGUACAUUGUCUUUGCUCAGACUUAAGUUUAAGUUAAAAAGAGACAGAUAAUUAUGUCUAUGCUAAAAAACUGUCUCGCUUUACCUCUAAAUAGAUCUCAGCGUAAUUGCCUUAAGAAUAGCAUUUGAAAUUAUUUUUGUGUUCGUUUUUUCGUCAAAAAUACUAUUUAUUUCAUAUUCCGUGUAUUUCUAUAUUGCACUAUUAGUAGUUAAGUGGAUGUUGUACGAAUGUGAACUUUACUGCAACGGGUAUAAGGACUAAACUGUAUCUACUGGGUCUUUUAUUUGUUUGGGUCCAGAAUGAGAAAUCUUAUACCGAAAAACCUGGGAAUUGGAUCUAGUGAAACGUAUUGAAAUACUUAACUAGUUUGUUUUUGAUUUAAUUGAUUUCAUUGAAUAUGAAAUAGUUGACUUCCUAAAGAAAUAGUAUUUUUUAAAUUAAUUUUUAUACAAAGUUAUUCAAAACAAUGCCAUGAUUCCGUGGAAAUUACCAAAGUCAGUUUUCUGUAUGUAUUUUAUUUUAAGAUUUCCCAUGGCUAUACUUACCUAAACAAAUAAAACACUUGACCGGGAGUUUAAGUAAAGUUCGCAUAUAAAUGUUAUUAUAUCACAUAGUAUAUAGAUCAUGUACCCGUAUACAUGUGUUUAAUGUAGGUACUUAUAUGUAAUGAGUGUCUUGAUAAUAUUCAGAUGAACUGUAGCUAAAAUUCUCAUUUAUUUUUCUUUGUAAUUAUGAAAAAUUCAAGGUUUUUCAUGCAGCAGUAAACUAAGAUUUUGUUAAACUUUUCUCUGUUAGAAGUUAAAAUCAUUUCUGAUAACCAAAACUAGUCUAAGAUCCAUAGAACGCAUUUUGACUUUGCUUAGACUUAAGUUUCUGUUAAAAAGAGAUAGAUUUAUGUCGGCGAUAUAACGCUGUCUCAUUUUAAUAGUCUUAAGUUUGAGCAACCUCAACCUAAAAUAUGCUACAGAUUUCUAGGUGCAAAAAUCGGUUACAUAUAUAUUUUUUAUUUUAUUUUAAGUCUCUUGCAUAUUUUCAUUAUAAUAUCUCAAGUAGAUACAUAUUGCAUUAGGUUGUGACUGUUAAAGUUUUAGCUACAGUUUGGGGCGUCUGACAAAUGAGCUUAACUUUUUUACCAAGCUAGGUAAGGUCUAUAGAUUUGUUCAGAGAUGGAGAUAUUUAAAUUGUACAACGAAUGGUGUGGACUACACUCACAAAAGAUAAAUAUUGACUGUCCAUUUUUCUCCUUUUUUACAUUUAAAACAUGGGACCUCAGUGGUUUUACACAGUAGGCCCCAAUUACACGUGAAGUUUUACUCACAUAAGUAUAACAGCUUGCAGUAUGACAGCUUUACUACAAGAAGCUUUUUGUACAAGCGUGUUUACAUUAGUAAAUUUUUUGUAUGUCAAUCAUGGAAGCUACUUACGUGUGUAAAUCUAUAAUUUCAAAGUAUUUUAAUGGAUGUUCGGUUUUAUUCAGCGUUAGGUUGCCCGUUUUUUGCAAACGAACUUUGCCAAUGCGACUUAAAAAAUCGGUUGUACUCGUAGGUAUAGGUACUGUUUCGUUGUUCGGCAGAAUCAACUUGUGGCCGAGCAACUCCCAGGCACAUUCAUACCGACCAUUUGCCUCGCCAGCUGUACCUACCUACAUAUUUAUGAACCACAUGCCAUUACUUUAGUUGAUUAGUGGAAUAACCCACAAUAUUCAGGCAAAUCAUUUCCAUACAUUUGUUUUUUACGACGUAGUGCUAUCAGAAAAUUAUAACAGAUAAAAAUAUUGUCGAAGCAUAAUUAUUGAAAUAUCAUUUGACAGACAAAAUCUGUAAAAUAAAAACAAUUGCAUUUAGAGUGUGGUCCAAAAUGAUGUGUCUGUUAGAUUGUAAGCAUCUCGAUGUAUUUUGUUGUUGUAUAUCAUUCAAGCAGGAGGACGGUAUUAUGUAUUGUCUGAUAAUAAAGCUAGUCAUUGUGUUU